ACGACGCUGGCGGCGUGCUUAACACAUGCAAGUCGAACGGAGAUUAUUAAUGAAGCUUGCGAUUUAAUAAUCUUAGUGGCGGACGGGUGAGUAACGCGUGGGCAACCUACCCAUAAGCGGGGGAUAACAGUCGGAAACGACUGCUAAUACCGCAUAAGCUAUUAAGGUCGCAUGACCUAAAUAGUAAAGGUGGCAUUUUAACAGUGCUAUCACUUAUGGAUGGGCCCGCGUCUGAUUAGCUAGUUGGUGGGGUAGCAGCCUACCAAGGCAACGAUCAGUAGCCGGCCUGAGAGGGUGGACGGCCACACUGGGACUGAGACACGGCCCAGACUCCUACGGGAGGCAGCAGUGGGGAAUAUUGCGCAAUGGGGGAAACCCUGACGCAGCGACGCCGCGUGAGCGAAGAAGGCCUUAGGGUCGUAAAGCUCUGUUGUAAGGGACGAAUGUUUGUCUGGCGAACAGUCAGAUAAAGUGACGGUACCUUACCAGCAAGCCCCGGCUAACUACGUG
Molecule: ribosomal RNA, 510 nt
Filed under: uncultured bacterium
Lineage: Bacteria
Description: bacterial SSU rRNA
Rfam family: Bacterial small subunit ribosomal RNA
Source: RNAcentral